UGGCUCCAGUUCUUGCCCUCUGCAUCUUAUCUCUACCUGCUUUUCAUUUUACGAAAAAAUUAAACACUAUUAGUAUUAGUCCUAUGUACCCACUAACAUAUGUUAAUAUAAGAGAGUUUUUCUUUCUUGGUAUGAAUAAAUGAAUGAAUGUGAUAAUAUUGGAAUAAAAUGGGUUUAAUGAGAUCAUUGCAUCGUAGGUGUGACGGAGUGGAAAAAGCCACGUGUCAUGGUGGCUACGCAAUGCCGUAAUUAUGUCAUCUCUACUUUACUUGCAAGAGAUUCCUGAUUUUCUAAACACUAUGCUUUUUAAAGAAGGAGCAAACAACACCAACAAUGACACCACCACUUAUUUCACAUAUAAUAAGUUAAAAGAAAACUAUGCAAUACAUAUUCGCAUAAUAAUUUACUUGCUCAUAUAUUUGAAUGGUACCCACGAUUUCCAAAUCUUAAUCAUUUUCGUGGCCUACCC
This is a long non-coding RNA of Arabidopsis thaliana (thale cress), 469 nucleotides long. RefSeq annotates it as other RNA. The record is from RefSeq. The transcript has a single exon. NCBI's taxonomy places the organism in Eukaryota, Viridiplantae, Streptophyta, Magnoliopsida, Brassicales, Brassicaceae.